Molecule: ribosomal RNA, 230 nt
Filed under: uncultured bacterium
Lineage: Bacteria
Description: partial 16S ribosomal RNA
Rfam family: Bacterial small subunit ribosomal RNA
Source: RNAcentral
AAAGGGUGCGUAGGCGGUUUAUUAAGUCAGUGGUGAAAGACGGUCGCUCAACGAUUGCAGUGCCAUUGAUACUGGUAGACUUGAGUAUGAUUGAGGUAGCUGGAAUGGAUAGUGUAGCGGUGAAAUGCAUAGAUAUUAUCCAGAACACCAAUUGCGUAGGCAAGUUACUAAGUCAUAACUGACGCUGAUGCACGAAAGUGUGGGUAUCAAACAGGAUUAGAUACCCGGGU